This 497-nucleotide ribosomal RNA is filed under the name uncultured bacterium. Its description in RNAcentral is "partial 16S ribosomal RNA". It matches the Rfam family "Bacterial small subunit ribosomal RNA", at positions 28 to 507 of the family's 1533-position model. The record is from RNAcentral.
GACGAACGCUGGCGGCGUGCCUAAUACAUGCAAGUAGAACGCUGAAGAGAGGAGCUUGCUCUUCUUGGAUGAGUUGCGAACGGGUGAGUAACGCGUAGGUAACCUGCCUUGUAGCGGGGGAUAACUAUUGGAAACGAUAGCUAAUACCGCAUAACAAUGGAUGACACAUGUCAUUUAUUUGAAAGGGGCAAUUGCUCCACUACAAGAUGGACCUGCGUUGUAUUAGCUAGUAGGUGAGGUAACGGCUCACCUAGGCGACGAUACAUAGCCGACCUGAGAGGGUGAUCGGCCACACUGGGACUGAGACACGGCCCAGACUCCUACGGGAGGCAGCAGUAGGGCAUCUUCGGCAAUGGGGGCAACCCUGACCGAGCAACGCCGCGUGAGUGAAGAAGGUUUUCGGAUCGUAAAGCUCGGUUGUAAGUCAAGAACGAGUGUGAGAGUGGAAAGUUCACACUGUGACGGUAGCUUACCAGAAAGGGACGGCUAACUACGUG